AUACGUAGGGUGCGAGCGUUGUCCGGAAUUACUGGGCGUAAAGAGCUCGUAGGUGGUUUGUCGCGUCGUCUGUGAAAUUCCGGGGCUUAACUCCGGGCGUGCAGGCGAUACGGGCAUAACUUGAGUACUGUAGGGGAGACUGGAAUUCCUGGUGUAGCGGUGAAAUGCGCAGAUAUCAGGAGGAACACCGGUGGCGAAGGGGGGUCUCUGGGCAGUAACUGACGCUGAGGAGCGAAAGCAUGGGUAGCGAACAGGAUUAGAUACCCUGGUAGUCCAUGCCGUAAACGGUGGGCGCUAGGUGUAGGGGUCUUCCACGACUUCUGUGCCGUAGCUAACGCAUUAAGCGCCCCGCCUGGGGAGUACGGCCGCAAGGCUAAAACUUAAAGGAAUUGACGGGG
Molecule: ribosomal RNA, 398 nt
Filed under: uncultured bacterium
Lineage: Bacteria
Description: partial 16S ribosomal RNA
Rfam family: Bacterial small subunit ribosomal RNA
Source: RNAcentral